This 429-nucleotide ribosomal RNA is filed under the name Bacteroidota bacterium. RNAcentral describes it as "Bacteroidetes bacterium partial 16S ribosomal RNA". It matches the Rfam family "Bacterial small subunit ribosomal RNA", at positions 355 to 776 of the family's 1533-position model. The record is from RNAcentral. Lineage: Bacteria; Pseudomonadati; Bacteroidota.
UAGGGAAUCUUCCGCAAUGGACGCAAGUCUGACGGAGCAACGCCGCGUGAGUGAAGAAGGAUUUCGGUUCGUAAAACUCUGUUGUUAGAGAAGAACAGCGCAUAGAGUAACUGUUAUGCGUGUGACGGUAUCUAACCAGAAAGCCACGGCUAACUACGUGCCAGCAGCCGCGGUAAUACGUAGGUGGCAAGCGUUGUCCGGAUUUAUUGGGCGUAAAGCGAGCGCAGGCGGUCAAUUAAGUCUGAUGUGAAAGCCCCCGGCUCAACCGGGGAGGGUCAUUGGAAACUGGUUGACUUGAGUGCAGAAGAGGAGAGUGGAAUUCCAUGUGUAACGGUGAAAUGCGUAGAUAUAUGGAGGAACCCCAGUGGCGAAGGCGACUCUCUGGUCUGUAACUGACGCUGAGGCUCGAAAGCGUGGGUAGCAAACAGG